AGAGCGAACGCUGGCGGCAGGCCUAACACAUGCAAGUCGAGCGCCCGUAGCAAUGCGGGAGCGGCAGACGGGAUAGUAACACGUGGGAACGCGCCCUUCGGUUCGGAAUAACUCAGGGAAACUUGAGCUAAUACCGGAUACGCCCUUACGGGGAAAGAUUUAUUGCCGAAGGAACGGCCCGCGUCCGAUUAGCUAGUUGGUGAGGUAAUGGCUCACCAAGGCGACGAUCGGUAGCUGGUCUGAGAGGAUGACCAGCAUCACUGGGACUGAGACACGGCCCAGACUCCUACGGGAGGCAGCAGUGGGGAAUAUUGGACAAUGGGCGCAAGCCUGAUCCAGCCAUGCCGCGUGGAUGAUGAAGGCCUUAGGGUUGUAAAGUCCUUUUAACGGGGAAGAUAAUGACGGUACCCGUAGAAUAAGCCCCGGCUAACUUCGUGCCAGCAGCCGC
This 448-nucleotide ribosomal RNA is filed under the name uncultured bacterium. RNAcentral's name for it is "SSU rRNA". It matches the Rfam family "Bacterial small subunit ribosomal RNA", at positions 26 to 518 of the family's 1533-position model. The record is from RNAcentral.